UCAUUCUCCACCAAACACCAACAUUCUCCAUCAAAUAUCAACAUUCAACAUCAAACACCAACAUUCACCA
Pangasianodon gigas (Mekong giant catfish) is the source of this 70-nucleotide non-coding RNA. Lineage: Eukaryota; Metazoa; Chordata; Actinopteri; Siluriformes; Pangasiidae. The record is from the annotation of a GenBank genome assembly.